GGGCCUGUAGCUCAGGUGGUUAGAGCGCACGCCUGAUAAGCGUGAGGUCAGUGGUUCAACUCCACUCAGGCCC
Molecule: transfer RNA, 73 nt
Filed under: Candidatus Kryptonium thompsonii
Lineage: Bacteria; Pseudomonadati; Candidatus Kryptoniota
Description: Candidatus Kryptonium thompsoni tRNA_Ile_GAT
Rfam family: tRNA
About the family: Transfer RNA (tRNA) molecules are approximately 80 nucleotides in length. Their secondary structure includes four short double-helical elements and three loops (D, anti-codon, and T loops). Further hydrogen bonds mediate the characteristic L-shaped molecular structure. tRNAs have two regions of fundamental functional importance: the anti-codon, which is responsible for specific mRNA codon recognition, and the 3' end, to which the tRNAs corresponding amino acid is attached (by aminoacyl-tRNA synthetases). tRNAs cope with the degeneracy of the genetic code in two manners: having more than one tRNA (with a specific anti-codon) for a particular amino acid; and 'wobble' base-pairing, i.e. permitting non-standard base-pairing at the 3rd anti-codon position.
Source: RNAcentral